Molecule: ribosomal RNA, 497 nt
Filed under: uncultured bacterium
Lineage: Bacteria
Description: partial 16S ribosomal RNA
Rfam family: Bacterial small subunit ribosomal RNA
Source: RNAcentral
GAUGAACGCUGGCGGCGUGCCUAAUACAUGCAAGUCGAGCGAACGGACGAGAAGCUUGCUUCUCUGAUGUUAGCGGCGGACGGGUGAGUAACACGUGGAUAACCUACCUAUCAGACUGGGAUAACUUCGGGAAACCGGAGCUAAUACCGUAUAAUAUUUUGAACCGCAUGGUUCAAAAGUGAAAGACGGUCUUGCUGUCACUUAUAGAUGGAUCCGCGCUGCAUUAGCUAGUUGGUAAGGUAACGGCUUACCAAGGGAACGAUGCAUAGCCGACCUGAGAGGGUGAUCGGCCACACUGGAACUGAGACACGGUCCAGACUCCUACGGGAGGCAGCAGUAGGGAAUCUUCCGCAAUGGGCGAAAGCCUGACGGAGCAACGCCGCGUGAGUGAUGAAGGUCUUCGGAUCGUAAAACUCUGUUAUUAGGGAAGAACAUAUGUGUAAGUAACUGUGCACAUCUUGACGGUACCUAAUCAGAAAGCCACGGCUAACUACGUG